This 301-nucleotide ribosomal RNA is filed under the name uncultured bacterium. RNAcentral's name for it is "partial 16S ribosomal RNA". It matches the Rfam family "Bacterial small subunit ribosomal RNA", at positions 509 to 807 of the family's 1533-position model. The record is from RNAcentral.
CAGUAGCCGCGGUAAUACGUAGGUGGCAAGCGUUGUCCGGAAUUAUUGGGCGUAAAGGGCUCGCAGGCGGUUUCUUAAGUCUGAUGUGAAAGCCCCCGGCUCAACCGGGGAGGGUCAUUGGAAACUGGGAGACUUGAGUGCAGAAGAGGAGAGUGGAAUUCCACGUGUAGCGGUGAAAUGCGUAGAGAUGUGGAGGAACACCAGUGGCGAAGACGACUCUCUAGUCUGUAACUGACGCUGAGGAGCGAAAGCGUGGGGAGCGAACAGGAUUAGAUACCCCCGUAGUCCCUGUCUCUUAUAC